Molecule: long non-coding RNA, 494 nt
Filed under: Elaeis guineensis (African oil palm)
Lineage: Eukaryota; Viridiplantae; Streptophyta; Magnoliopsida; Arecales; Arecaceae
Description: long non-coding RNA (EGUI_LNC014008)
Source: RNAcentral
UACUACUUCAGCCUAGUAUGAGAGGAAUUGUUCCAUUAACACAAUCGAUCAUUUUGCUUGGAUGAACAAUUGGGAAAAAGGAAGAGUUUUGGUACUAGAUGGUCAGCAAUCUUGGAUUCCCAUGGCAUACCAAACAAUCCAAGUAAAACAUUCCAACUAGCUUUUAAGGAUAAGUUUGUUACAGUUGUAAUGCAGAGCCAAGUUGGUUUUCUUGCUGAGUUUGGUUCUUGAUGAAACCUGAAGUGAGAAAUCACAUUUGUGAUUCGAAAACACUAGAAAAGAUUUGAACUUUAUGUGGUUUUACUCUAUAUUUUUAAUAUUAAUUUAAACAUGACAACGCAAGUGUCUAGUAUCUUUAGUUUCUAGGCUUACCUAAUAAUUUUACCUGCUUUCCUUCCAGGAUAUUUUCAGUAUUUCAUUUUUCAUUCAUGAAGUUAUUAUGGAGAUUGAUCAAGAACUGGGAGAUGUUUCUGGGAUGUAGAUCCAUGAUGAAA